GUGGUUGUAGUUCAGUGGUAGAACACUCGCCUGGCAUGUGAGGCACUGAGUUCAAUCCUCAGCACCACA
Molecule: transfer RNA, 69 nt
Filed under: Ictidomys tridecemlineatus (thirteen-lined ground squirrel)
Lineage: Eukaryota; Metazoa; Chordata; Mammalia; Rodentia; Sciuridae
Description: Spermophilus tridecemlineatus (thirteen-lined ground squirrel) tRNA
Rfam family: tRNA
About the family: Transfer RNA (tRNA) molecules are approximately 80 nucleotides in length.
Source: Rfam by way of RNAcentral